GGAGUUCAUCUGGAUGAAGUUCCACUCCACAACAGCCAUCUCAGAGAAGAAGGUUCUCCUGGAGGCUCUCACCUGCAGUGACAAUGGCUUCCUGCUCAACCGGCUGCUGAAUCUUUCUCUGAGCUCAGAUUUGGUCCCAGAUCAAGAUGUCAUCGAUGUCAUCAUCCACGUGGGAAGGAACCCGGCAUGAAGACACUUAGCCUGGAGGUACUUCAGGGAGAAGUGGGACAUCUUGAAUUCACGGUACGGAGAGGCCUUAUUCAUGACCUCUAAGCUAAUCAGUGGGGUGACUGAAUUCCUGAACACAGAGACGGAGCUGAAUGAGGUACGUUUAUUUAUUAAGGUUCACUCAGGUGUCCCAGUCUUCAGUAACACACUGGCUUAUUGUAUGAUGUGAUAUAUUUAACUACAUUGUAAAUUACACUUUUU
Long non-coding RNA from Oncorhynchus keta (chum salmon), 429 nucleotides. RefSeq lists it as uncharacterized. The record is from RefSeq and is a predicted model, not a curated record. The transcript has 3 exons. NCBI's taxonomy places the organism in Eukaryota, Metazoa, Chordata, Actinopteri, Salmoniformes, Salmonidae.